This 373-nucleotide ribosomal RNA is filed under the name uncultured organism. RNAcentral describes it as "partial 16S ribosomal RNA". It matches the Rfam family "Bacterial small subunit ribosomal RNA", at positions 527 to 896 of the family's 1533-position model. The record is from RNAcentral.
GUAGGUGGCAAGCGUUGUCCGGAAUUAUUGGGCGUAAAGCGCGCGCAGGCGGUUCUUUAAGUCUGAUGUGAAAGCCCACGGCUCAACCGUGGAGGGUCAUUGGAAACUGGAGAACUUGAGUACAGAAGAGGAAAGCGGAAUUCCACGUGUAGCGGUGAAGUGCGUAGAGAUGUGGAGGAACACCAGUGGCGAAGGCGGCUUUCUGGUCUGUAACUGACGCUGAGGCGCGAAAGCGUGGGGAGCAAACAGGGAUUAGAUACCCUGGUAGUCCACGCCGUAAACGAUGAGUGCUAAGUGUUAGGGGGGUUUCCGCCCCCUUAGUGCUGCAGCUAACGCAUUAAGCACUCCGCCUGGGGAUACGGCCGCAAGGCUG